AUGACACGGAGUUCAGUUUGUUUAUUCCCUGAAGAACUUUCAUCCUCUAUCCAUCUUUUAGUCCUACAAAUGGAAGUAUUGCAUUGUAACUUAUUCCGCAGUUUGACUUCAACAAUUCUGUCCAGUAAUAGGAGUUUCUUUUUACCUUUCAUUCAGAUAGUUGGUGUUUGCAAAGUUUAUGGGGGCCUCAAUUGUCAAUAUCAAGAACCCAGGAACUCUUUGAGCUUCCUUGUACUGAUGGAGGUUUCGGAAGACGAGAAGGGUGGAUACGAUGACGGAUGCCAAGGGAGCACACGCUGA
RNAcentral lists this ribosomal RNA (300 nucleotides) under Triticum aestivum (bread wheat). RNAcentral describes it as "partial small subunit ribosomal RNA". Lineage: Eukaryota; Viridiplantae; Streptophyta; Magnoliopsida; Poales; Poaceae. The record is from RNAcentral.